RNAcentral lists this unclassified non-coding RNA (343 nucleotides) under soil metagenome. Its description in RNAcentral is "partial contains 5.8S ribosomal RNA, internal transcribed spacer 2, and large subunit ribosomal RNA". The stretch from base 1 to 120 matches the Rfam family "5.8S ribosomal RNA", at positions 35 to 154 of the family's 154-position model. The record is from RNAcentral.
GAUGAAGAACGUAGUGAAAUGCGAUAAGUAAUGUGAAUUGCAGAAUUCCGUGAAUCAUCGAAUCUUUGAACGCACAUUGCGCCCGCCAGCAUUCUGGCGGGCAUGCCUGUUCGAGCGUCAUUUCAACCCUCGAGCCCCCCCGGGGGCCUCGGUGUUGGGGGACGGCACACCAGCCGCCCCCGAAAUGCAGUGGCGACCCCGCCGCAGCCUCCCCUGCGUAGUAGCACACACCUCGCACCGGAGCGCGGAGGCGGUCACGCCGUAAAACGCCCAACUUUCUUAGAGUUGACCUCGGAUCAGGUAGGAAUACCCGCUGAACUUAAGCAUAUCAAUAAGCGGAGGA